RNAcentral lists this ribosomal RNA (304 nucleotides) under Acrapex sp. ACTAG3818. Its description in RNAcentral is "partial 16S large subunit ribosomal RNA". The record is from RNAcentral. Lineage: Eukaryota; Metazoa; Arthropoda; Insecta; Lepidoptera; Noctuidae.
AAGUUAAAAUAAUUUAAAAAGACGAGAAGACCCUAUAGAGUUUUAUAUAUAACUUAAUUGAGAUUAUUUAAUAAUAUUAAGUUAAAAUUAAUUUAUAUAUUGUAUUGGGGUGAUAGAAAAAUAUAUAUAACUUUUUUUAUAUUUGUUUAAGCAUAAACAUAUAUAAGUGAUUAAAUGAUCCAAUAUUAUUGAUUAUAAGAAAAAAUUACCUUAGGGAUAACAGCGUAAUUUUUUUUUUUAGUUCGUAUAAGAAAAAGAGUUUGCGACCUCGAUGUUGGAUUAAGAUAAAAUUUAAAUGUAGAAG